GGGGAUAUAGCUCAGUUGGUAGAGUACGUGCCUCGCACGCACAAGGCCCCGGGUCCAAUCCCCAGCACCUCCC
RNAcentral lists this transfer RNA (73 nucleotides) under Ictidomys tridecemlineatus (thirteen-lined ground squirrel). Its description in RNAcentral is "Spermophilus tridecemlineatus (thirteen-lined ground squirrel) tRNA". It matches the Rfam family "tRNA". Rfam says of the family: Transfer RNA (tRNA) molecules are approximately 80 nucleotides in length. Their secondary structure includes four short double-helical elements and three loops (D, anti-codon, and T loops). Further hydrogen bonds mediate the characteristic L-shaped molecular structure. tRNAs have two regions of fundamental functional importance: the anti-codon, which is responsible for specific mRNA codon recognition, and the 3' end, to which the tRNAs corresponding amino acid is attached (by aminoacyl-tRNA synthetases). tRNAs cope with the degeneracy of the genetic code in two manners: having more than one tRNA (with a specific anti-codon) for a particular amino acid; and 'wobble' base-pairing, i.e. permitting non-standard base-pairing at the 3rd anti-codon position. The record is from Rfam by way of RNAcentral. Lineage: Eukaryota; Metazoa; Chordata; Mammalia; Rodentia; Sciuridae.